AAGAUAGACUGAUUUCAAUUGAAAUUUUUCAUUUUUUACUCAAUCUCACCUUAAAAUUGGAAAACAAAUUCAAUAAAUAUUUAACAACUCCAACAUCAAAAAUAUAUAUUUUUUGAAAACAUUUUCUUUAUAGAAGUAUUAAAAAACUCUUAAAAAAUAUUAGAAAUUAUUUAUAUAAAAUAUCAACGAAUAAAAUACCAUAAAUAGCUACCAACACCUCACAUGAUCCUUUAUUGCACGUGUUUCUCACAUUUCAGAUUUGUGUCAAAUUGAGACUAUUGGAAUUUGAUGAGAUUUUACUUUAAUUU
Molecule: unclassified non-coding RNA, 308 nt
Filed under: Hevea brasiliensis (rubber tree)
Lineage: Eukaryota; Viridiplantae; Streptophyta; Magnoliopsida; Malpighiales; Euphorbiaceae
Source: RNAcentral